UGCANGUCGANCGGGAUUCGUUUCAUUGAUCCUUCGGGUGAUUUGGUUAGAUGAGAGUGGCGAACGGGUGAGUAAUAUUUGAGCAACUUGCCCCGAAGUUCGGGAUAGCCCAUGGAAACGUGGAUUAAUACCGGAUGUGUUCGGUUACGGCAUCGUAACCUUUAUAAAGGCAGGGAUCUUCGGACCUGUCGCUUCGGGAUAGGCUCAAAACGUAUCAGCUUGUUGGUGAGGUAACGGCUCACCAAGGCUUUGACGCGUAGCUGGUCUGAGAGGACGAUCAGCCACACUGGGACUGAGACACUGCCCAGACUCCUACGGGAGGCUGCAGUCGAGAAUCAUUCGCAAUGCACGAAAGUGUGACGAUGCGACGCCGCGUGGAGGAUGAAGGCCUUCGGGUUGUAAACUCCUGUCAUAAGGGAGCAAGUAUGUUUCAUUUAAUAGAUGAGGCAUUUGAUAGUACCUUAAGAGGAAGUCACGGCUAACUCUGUGCCAGCAGCCGCGGUAAUACAGAGGUGGCAAGCGUUAAUCGGAUUUACUGGGCGUAAAGGGUCCGCAGGCGGUUUAGUGUGUCGGAUGUGAAAUGCCAGGGCUCAACCUUGGAACUGCAUUCGAAACUACUAGACUAGAGUAUUGGAGGGGAGAAGGGAACAGUUGGUGUAGCGGUGAAAUGCGUAGAUAUCAACUGGAACACCGGUGGCGAAGACGCUUCUCUGGACAAAUACUGACGCUCAUGGACGAAAGCUAANGUAGCGAAAGGGAUUAGAUACCCCUGUAGUCUUAGCCGUAAACGGUGUGCACUUGUUGUUGGUGGUUUNACCCCCAUCAGUGACGUANCUNNCGUGUUAAGUGCACCGCCNGGGGAGUACGGUCGCAAGAUUAAANCUCAAAGGNA
This 892-nucleotide ribosomal RNA is filed under the name uncultured bacterium. RNAcentral's name for it is "bacterial SSU rRNA". It matches the Rfam family "Bacterial small subunit ribosomal RNA", at positions 56 to 909 of the family's 1533-position model. The record is from RNAcentral.